This 142-nucleotide ribosomal RNA is filed under the name uncultured eukaryote. Its description in RNAcentral is "partial 18S ribosomal RNA". It matches the Rfam family "Eukaryotic small subunit ribosomal RNA", at positions 1299 to 1458 of the family's 1831-position model. The record is from RNAcentral.
UGGUGGAGUGAUUUGUCUGGUUAAUUCCGUUAACGAACGAGACCUCAGCCUACUAAAUAGUGGAUACUUUCUAACGAAAGUACCUUUCACUUCUUAGAGGGACAUUUCGGGUUUCACCGGAAGGAAGUUUGAGGCAAUAACA